GCGUCUGCGCAGGCGCGUUUAUAGUAGCCUAAGCGUUUCAGAAAUAGUACGGUUUUUAGCGAAAAUGCAUGUCUUUUUGGAAGUUAUAAAUAUACGACUGAAUAUAUAAGGCUUGGAUUGUACUGCCCGAUUCGUGUGAGAGUUGAUGGAAAAUGGACGUUGUUUUAUCAACAAGUAACCCUGAUGGCAUGGGAGGAAAAACAAAGUUGUCUUCAAAGCAACACUAGGUGGAGACUUCAGGGGCCAGAGGCACAGUUUGGGGUCAGCCGGAGGUUCCUGGGAUUCCUCGGAGAGAUGAGAUGAGGUUAUGAGAGGUCAUGUAGAACAGCUCGGUGUGACAGCAAAUCAGAGGCCACCCCUCCGGAGCAGUAACGUGAAACAAAAAGGAAACAAG
Long non-coding RNA from Eleginops maclovinus (Patagonian blennie), 394 nucleotides. RefSeq lists it as uncharacterized. NCBI's taxonomy places the organism in Eukaryota, Metazoa, Chordata, Actinopteri, Perciformes, Eleginopidae. The record is from RefSeq and is a predicted model, not a curated record. The transcript is spliced from 3 exons.